This 884-nucleotide ribosomal RNA is filed under the name Salinivibrio sp. ML323. RNAcentral describes it as "bacterial SSU rRNA". It matches the Rfam family "Bacterial small subunit ribosomal RNA", at positions 555 to 1444 of the family's 1533-position model. Lineage: Bacteria; Pseudomonadati; Pseudomonadota; Gammaproteobacteria; Vibrionales; Vibrionaceae. The record is from RNAcentral.
CUGGCGUAAGCGCAUGCAGGCGGUUUGUUAGUCAGAUGUGAAGCCCGGGCUCAACCUCGGAACCGCAUUUGAAACUGGCAGGCUAGAGUCUUGUAGAGGGGGGUAGAAUUUCAGGUGUAGCGGUGAAAUGCGUAGAGAUCUGAAGGAAUACCAGUGGCGAAGGCGGCCCCCUGGACAAAGACUGACGCUCAGAUGCGAAAGCGUGGGUAGCAAACAGGAUUAGAUACCCUGGUAGUCCACGCCGUAAACGCUGUCUACUUGGAGGUUGAGGUUUAGACUUUGGCUUUCGGCGCUAACGCAUUAAGUAGACCGCCUGGGGAGUACGGCCGCAAGGUUAAAACUCAAAUGAAUUGACGGGGGCCCGCACAAGCGGUGGAGCAUGUGGUUUAAUUCGAUGCAACGCGAAGAACCUUACCUACUCUUGACAUCCAGUGAACUUUCCAGAGAUGGAUUGGUGCCUUCGGGAACACUGAGACAGGUGCUGCAUGGCUGUCGUCAGCUCGUGUUGUGAAAUGUUGGGUUAAGUCCCGCAACGAGCGCAACCCUUAUCCUUGUUUGCCAGCACGUAAUGGUGGGAACUCCAGGGAGACUGCCGGUGAUAAACCGGAGGAAGGUGGGGACGACGUCAAGUCAUCAUGGCCCUUACGAGUAGGGCUACACACGUGCUACAAUGGCAGAUACAGAGGGCAGCGAAGCUGCGAAGUGGAGCGAAUCCCUUAAAGUCUGUCGUAGUCCGGAUUGGAGUCUGCAACUCGACUCCAUGAAGUCGGAAUCGCUAGUAAUCGUGGAUCAGAAUGCCACGGUGAAUACGUUCCCGGGCCUUGUACACACCGCCCGUCACACCAUGGGAGUGGGCUGCACCAGAAGUAGAUAGCUAACCUCGG